UUGGUGUGGUUGUCGCUGGCCUUCUUGGAGGCAUGUGCACACCUACCAUCCUCAUCUCUCCACCUGUGCACCUCUUGUAGAUUUGGAAUUGAUUAUCCGAGGCAACUCGGUCGUGAGGAAUGCUAGCACUUAGCUGGCUUUCUUUGCAAUUCCAGGUCUAUGUUUUUCAUAUACCCCAUUGUAUGUAACAGAAUGUAUCAUUGGGCCUUGUGCCUAUAAACCUUAUACAACUUUCAGCAACGGAUCUCUUGGCUCUCGCAUCGAUGAAGAACGCAGCGAAAUGCGAUAAGUAAUGUGAAUUGCAGAAUUCAGUGAAUCAUCGAAUCUUUGAACGCACCUUGCGCUCCUUGGUAUUCCGAGGAGCAUGCCUGUUUGAGUGUCAUUAAAUUCUCAACCAUUAUCAACUUUUGCUGAUAAUGGCUUGGAUGUGGGGGUCUAUUUUGCUGGCUUCUCAGAUAGUCAGCUCCCCUUAAAUGCAUUAGCCGGUGCCCCGCGUGGACUGUCUAUUGGUGUGAUAAUUAUCUACGCUAUGGACAUCUGCAAUCAUAUGGGUGUGCACUGCUUCCAGCAGUCUGUUAAAGACAAUACAUGACAAUUUGACCUCAAAUCAGGUAGGAUUACCCGCUGAACUUAAGCAUAUCAAUAAGCGGAGGAAAAGAAACUAACAAGGAUUCCCCUAGUAACUGCGAGUGAAGCGGGAAAAGCUCAAAUUUAAAAUCUGGCGGUCUCUGGCCGUCC
Molecule: ribosomal RNA, 738 nt
Filed under: Hebeloma ammophilum
Lineage: Eukaryota; Fungi; Basidiomycota; Agaricomycetes; Agaricales; Hymenogastraceae
Description: eukaryotic LSU rRNA
Rfam family: 5.8S ribosomal RNA (bases 229-382)
Source: RNAcentral